RNAcentral lists this long non-coding RNA (1351 nucleotides) under Scleropages formosus (Asian bonytongue). Its description in RNAcentral is "lncRNA (ENSSFOG00015028683.1)". Lineage: Eukaryota; Metazoa; Chordata; Actinopteri; Osteoglossiformes; Osteoglossidae. The record is from RNAcentral.
AUGCUAAACAGGUUAGCCGCCAGUCCUACUUAUAACUGUUUUUCCCAACGUUUAGACGCCACAGAAAAACUGUUGCAGAAACAAAAUGAUAGAAAUGUGGAUGAAAUAAUUGAAAAUCUCUUCAGUGACGCUUCAAGCUUGGAUGCUUCCUCCCUGACUGAGGCUGCAGCCCCACAGGUGGAAGAAAAUGCCAUCCAGCUGUGGAACUGGGCCGUGACAAAACACGUGGGUUCGGCAAUAAAUGAGCAACAAAAAGCAAAAGUUCGUCAUGUGGCAUGCAGAUUGCUGUAUGCCUGCGAGCCUCAAGAGCCCUCAGAAAGCACACUUCGGAAACAGGUCUUGGUGAGUUAACAGUGUCUCCUAGAGAUCCUUAAUCUCUGUGGUGCCCCACUUUAGUGUUGCCUUUCUAAAGAAGUCGGUGGAGUGAGAUUAUCUUCCUAGCUUCGUUUCAGCUUCACUGAAAAUCCAGUGAUGUAUACUACAGGCCUUUUCUAAAGCCUUGAACCUAGAUUUCAUGGUGCCUCAAUUUAAAGUAAGUUGAAUAAGACAAACAGGCACUAUGAUAUACUCUAAUUUGAUAGUCUAAUAUUGUAUCUGUGCAGAUGGCCACCAAGGCUGGUAGAACAUGGCUGGACUGCAAAAAUCCUGUGCUGGCUAAUGAUUUUCUCAACCUUGCUGCAAAGGUAAUUCUGUGGUGGGAGUGCAGGGAAUUGAAGCUUUGUACCAUUGUUCUUCACAUCACAGAAUUAUGCACGUGUUAAGGAUUUGUUUGCGAUGAAAGAUUAUACAGUGACCAUGUACUAUUUUCAUACACGCAUGUGGCGCUUCAGUGAAUAUAGUUAAGGCUUUGAUUUAUUUUGCUCUGAAGGUUGAUCAGUACAGUUAAUGUGUCCUCACCAAGUUAAAGGUGUAUCUCCUAAUGGAUAUACUUGUACGACACCUGUUUUUCAUUGAUGUAAACAUUAAAGUUUUGCCAGAUUACCUUUUUGAAAUAAUUCCACUUAGCAGAAGUUUUGUAAGAAGCAUUAAAUGAAAGUUGAAUGUCUAUAUUCUAACGCUUGUACCUAAUCCUGGAUGCUUCUGUACUUGUGACUGCCCUACAUUAUGUAUAAUAUUGUCAGAGCAUGGAGACCUUGUACAAUAGACUCACAAAUCGUGGCAAUGGAAAGAUGGACAUCAACAUCCCAAAAGGAGAAGUGGAAAAGGAUCUUUUUCGAGUACUGACAUACCAGGCUGAAUCAGUGAGCAUGUAUUAAAUGUGUAAUUGAUUGUAGCUAUAAUUUUUCUGAGAAAUUAUGCAAUGCCAAUACUGAUGUUUGGAAACUUAUACAGCGUUAUUAAAAGAUGUUUA